UCAGAAGGCUACAGCAACAGUUAAAUUUUAGCAUACUGCAAAUACCACGGCUCUUCUCAGUUACAUUUCUUGGUAUACAGUAUAGUAACAUAUGCUACAUGGAAGUGAAUCGUAAAGGCCAACUUCUGCUCUUGGAUUCAGAUCUCCCUGACUUCAGUGAGACUGAAAAGCAAGGGAGCCUGGUGACACCUGCAAGCAGCAAGUAACCAUGGCAAAGUCUCCAUGGGGGAGUGGAGGCAAUGAUCAGCAGAGAAUUCCUGGAGGGUUCUCAUGCUUCAUACAAAUCGUCACCCUGCGGCUCAUUUCAGCCACGUUUUGUGUAGUGAAUGAGCACGUUGAGCUCCUUCCACAGAUUAAUAUGCAUUGUAGAAAAGACACUAAACUACCACUGGCACAAGUAAAACAAGAGAUGAUUGAAACUUAAGGAUGGGUCCAGCCACUCAGCACUGUGCGAGGGAAAGUAAACAAAUUCAAGCAAUUUUUGGAGAGUGAGUCAUGGCUGUACUUGAGUCAACGAGACCAAUAAAUUGCACAUGGCUUAAGGAA
This is a long non-coding RNA of Passer domesticus (house sparrow), 546 nucleotides long. RefSeq lists it as uncharacterized. The record is from RefSeq and is a predicted model, not a curated record. The transcript has 2 exons. Lineage: Eukaryota; Metazoa; Chordata; Aves; Passeriformes; Passeridae.